GAGUCGUAACAAGGUUUCCGUAGGUGAACCUGCGGAAGGAUCAUUAUUGAAUUGUGAAUGGGGCUUGAUGCUGGCUUGUCCAUCCCUUUUGGCUGCCAUGUCGCAUGCGUCCCGCAUCGGCCCCAAGUCCCAAUUUUUCCCUUUUAAACCCAAACCCACCUUGUGCCACCCUUUCCUUGUGAGAAUGGGAGAGAAAGGGCUUGCCUCUUUUAUCUCGUCUCAUGAUUCAUAAACGCUGUUUGUAAUGUUGAAUGCAUUUAUGCCGUCAAGGCUUUAACCUAAUACAA
Molecule: unclassified non-coding RNA, 287 nt
Filed under: plant metagenome
Description: partial contains small subunit ribosomal RNA and internal transcribed spacer 1
Rfam family: Eukaryotic small subunit ribosomal RNA (bases 1-46)
Source: RNAcentral